AUUUGUCUGGUUAAUUCCGAUAACGAACGAGACCUUAACCUGCUAAUUAGAUCUUGUUAUCUUAUAACUUGUAUCUUCUUAGAGGGACUAUGUAAAACAAAUACAUGGAAGUUUGAGGCAAUAACAGGUCAGUGAUGCCCUUAUAUGUCCUGGGCUGCACGCGUGCUACACUGAUGUAUACAACAAGUGCCUAACCAGACAUGGUAUGGCAAUCUCGAAUAUGCAUCGUGAUGGGGAUAGAUCUUUGCAAUUAUAGAUCUUGAACGAGGAAUUCCUAGUAAGUGCAAGUCAUCAUCUUGCAUUGAUUAUGUCCCUGCCCUUUGUACACACCGCCCGUCGCUCCUACCGAUACCGGGUGAUCCGGUGAACCUUUUGGACCUGUAAGGGGAAGAUAAGUAAACCAUAUCACCUAGAGGAAGGAGAAGUCGUAACAAGGUUUCCGUAGGUGAACCUGCRGAAGGAUCA
RNAcentral lists this ribosomal RNA (465 nucleotides) under uncultured ciliate. RNAcentral describes it as "SSU rRNA". It matches the Rfam family "Eukaryotic small subunit ribosomal RNA". Lineage: Eukaryota; Ciliophora. The record is from RNAcentral.